CAGCAGUCGCCGCGGUAAUACGGAGGGGGCUAGCGUUGUUCGGAAUUACUGGGCGUAAAGCGCACGUAGGCGGCUUGGUAAGUUAGAGGUGAAAGCCUGGAGCUCAACUCCAGAAUUGCCUUUAAGACUGCCGAGCUAGCAGGUGAGAGAGGUAAGUGGAAUUCCGAGUGUAGAGGUGAAAUUCGUAGAUAUUCGGAAGAACACCAGUGGCGAAGGCGGCUUACUGGCUCAUACUAGACGCUGAGGUGCGAAAGCGUGGGGAGCAAACAGGAUUAGAGACCCCCGUAGUCCCUGUCUCUUAUAC
RNAcentral lists this ribosomal RNA (304 nucleotides) under uncultured bacterium. RNAcentral describes it as "partial 16S ribosomal RNA". It matches the Rfam family "Bacterial small subunit ribosomal RNA", at positions 509 to 807 of the family's 1533-position model. The record is from RNAcentral.